This 441-nucleotide small RNA is filed under the name Rattus norvegicus (Norway rat). RNAcentral's name for it is "uncharacterized LOC103690789". The record is from RNAcentral. Lineage: Eukaryota; Metazoa; Chordata; Mammalia; Rodentia; Muridae.
UUUCAGACUUUGGUGAGGCUUCAGGGUCACAGGAAAAGGGAAACCCAUUCUGUGGGGAGAAAGGAGUGACUUUUCUUUAUUCUAGAAAACUCAAUUCCCUCUUAAUAUGGGAUUUAGUGAUGGCUUUUCUUCAGUGAGUCUACAUACACAUACUAGGAGAAGUCCCUUUCCCUCCCUCCUUUUGUUUUCCAGCACUUGUUUUCUGCAAGACAAGGAAGCAGAGCGCUUUGCUGAUGGUGAUUAUCCCUGACAUCUUCCCUUCCUGGACACAUGCCCUGAUUCAACUAUGGGCCUCAUUUUUCACAGGCAGAAACAUCCUUUGAAAAAAAAAAGAAAAUUAAGAUCCAGCUUCACAUUUUCCCCUACAGAUGCUGUUCAGCUCAUGUGUGUGUAAUGGUCAGAGCUCCAACUGCCACCUUGGACUAGCAGACACUAUAAAAG